This 253-nucleotide ribosomal RNA is filed under the name uncultured bacterium. RNAcentral describes it as "partial 16S ribosomal RNA". It matches the Rfam family "Bacterial small subunit ribosomal RNA", at positions 524 to 776 of the family's 1533-position model. The record is from RNAcentral.
UACGUAGGGUGCGAGCGUUGUCCGGAAUUAUUGGGCGUAAAGAGCUUGUAGGCGGUUUGUCGCGUCUGCUGUGAAAAUCCGGGGCUCAACCCCGGACUUGCAGUGGGUACGGGCAGACUGGAGUGUGGUAGGGGAGACUGGAAUUCCUGGUGUAGCGGUGGAAUGCGCAGAUAUCAGGAGGAACACCGAUGGCGAAGGCAGGUCUCUGGGCCACUACUGACGCUGAGGAGCGAAAGCGUGGGGAGCGAACAGG